AAUGAUACUCCCGCAUUCGGUGCGGUCUGCCGGCAGGCAGAAGAUGCGGUUUCGUUUUGGGUUGAAUGAAUACCCGCGAAUGCAUUU
Molecule: small RNA, 87 nt
Filed under: unclassified sequences
Description: dinG RNA
Rfam family: dinG RNA
Source: Rfam by way of RNAcentral